AUCAACACUUAUCGAAAUACUUGUCAAAACAGUAAGCAGUGCAGAAAAUCGCCAUGUACACAAGUUUAUUAUUUAAAUUGAUCGUGUUCAUAUUGUUCGCUCAAACGUUGUUAGCUCAAAAAGAUGACUACCCAGACUUGCGGUACGACAUACCGUCCACGAACGAGAAUGUUGGAGACGACUAAACAGGAUAAUUAAUACAAAACAAUAUAUUUGUAAAAAAUG
This is a long non-coding RNA of Leguminivora glycinivorella, 225 nucleotides long. RefSeq lists it as uncharacterized. The transcript is spliced from 2 exons. Lineage: Eukaryota; Metazoa; Arthropoda; Insecta; Lepidoptera; Tortricidae. The record is from RefSeq and is a predicted model, not a curated record.